This 253-nucleotide ribosomal RNA is filed under the name uncultured bacterium. Its description in RNAcentral is "partial 16S ribosomal RNA". It matches the Rfam family "Bacterial small subunit ribosomal RNA", at positions 524 to 776 of the family's 1533-position model. The record is from RNAcentral.
UACGUAGGGUGCAAGCGUUGUCCGGAAUUAUUGGGCGUAAAGAGCUCGUAGGCGGUUUGUCGCGUCGGCUGUGAAAACCUGGGGCUCAACCCCGGGCCUGCAGCCGAUACGGGCAGGCUUGAGUGUGGUAGGGGAGACUGGAAUUCCUGGUGUAGCGGUGAAAUGCGCAGAUAUCAGGAGGAACACCGAUGGCGAAGGCAGGUCUCUGGGCAUUAACUGACGCUGAGGAGCGAAAGCAUGGGGAGCGAACAGG